ACGGGUGAGUAACGCGUAGGAAUCUGCCCAAUAGUGGGGGACAACGUUCCGAAAGGGACGCUAAUACCGCAUACGCCCUACGGGGGAAAGCAGGGGAUCUUCGGACCUUGCGCUAUUGGAUGAGCCUGCGUCGGAUUAGCUAGUUGGCGGGGUAAAGGCCCACCAAGGCGACGAUCCGUAGCUGGUCUGAGAGGAUGAUCAGCCGCACCGGAACUGAGACACGGUCCGGACUCCUACGGGAGGCAGCAGUGGGGAAUAUUGGACAAUGGGGGCAACCCUGAUCCAGCCAUGCCGCGUGUGUGAAGAAGGCCUUCGGGUUGUAAAGCACUUUAAGGGGGGAGGAAGGUUCGCUGGCUAAUACCCAGCGGAAUUGACGUUACCCCCAGAAUAAGCACCGGCUAACUCCGUGCCAGCAGCCGCGGUAAUACGGAGGGUGCAAGCGUUAAUCGGAAUUACUGGGCGUAAAGCGCGCGUAGGCGGCUGGGUAAGUCGAUUGUGAAAUCCCCGGGCUCAACCUGGGAAUUGCAGUCGAGACUGCCCGGCUAGAGUGUGGGAGAGGGUGGUGGAAUUCCCGGUGUAGCGGUGAAAUGCGUA
RNAcentral lists this ribosomal RNA (594 nucleotides) under uncultured Gammaproteobacteria bacterium. Its description in RNAcentral is "bacterial SSU rRNA". It matches the Rfam family "Bacterial small subunit ribosomal RNA", at positions 102 to 692 of the family's 1533-position model. The record is from RNAcentral. Lineage: Bacteria; Pseudomonadati; Pseudomonadota; Gammaproteobacteria.